RNAcentral lists this ribosomal RNA (488 nucleotides) under uncultured bacterium. RNAcentral's name for it is "partial 16S ribosomal RNA". It matches the Rfam family "Bacterial small subunit ribosomal RNA", at positions 28 to 507 of the family's 1533-position model. The record is from RNAcentral.
GACGAACGCUGGCGGCGUGCUUAACACAUGCAAGUCGAACGGAAAGGCCCUGCUUUUGUGGGUUGCUCGAGUGGCGAACGGGUGAGUAACACGUGAGUAACCUGUCCUUGACUUUGGGAUAACUUCAGGAAACUGGGGCUAAUACCGGAUAGGAGCUCCUGCUGCAUGGUGGGGGUUGGAAAGUUUCGGCGGUUGGGGAUGGACUCGCGGCUUAUCAGCUUGUUGGUAGGGUAGUGGCUUACCAAGGCUGUGACGGGUAGCCGGCGUAAGAGGGUGGUCGGCCGCAUGAGAAGUGAGACGGGGACAAUGGGCCUGCGAUAGGCAGCAGUAGGGUACGGGAGGCAGUAGUCGAAAGUAUUGCGGAACGAGGGGAAGUGAGAGACGGAGACGUUGCGUGCGUGAUACUGUCUUAUGGGUUAUAAACCGAUUUCGCAUUAGACGAAGCCGGAUUGACGGUAAUGGGUAAGGAAGCACCGGCUAACUACGUG